This 492-nucleotide ribosomal RNA is filed under the name uncultured bacterium. Its description in RNAcentral is "partial 16S ribosomal RNA". It matches the Rfam family "Bacterial small subunit ribosomal RNA", at positions 29 to 507 of the family's 1533-position model. The record is from RNAcentral.
AGUGAACGCUGGCGGUAGGCCUUACACAUGCAAGUCGAACGGCAGCACAGUUACAUCCUCCUCGUACGGGUGGCGAGUGGCGGACGGGUUAGGAAUACACCUGAACUUACGUUGGGGUUGGCGAGACCGAAGGCGAACUAACGCCACAACCGCACUCGAGCUGCGGGCGAAAGCAGUUGAGCUUCGGACCUUGCGCGAUUGCAUGAGCCGAUUUCGGAUUAGCUAGUUGGCGGGGUAAAGGCCCACCAAGGCGACGAUCCGUAGCUGGUCUGAGAGGAUGACCAGCCACACUGGAACUGAGACACGGUCCAGACUCCUACGGGAGGCAGCAGUGGGGAAUUUUGGACAAUGGGCGCAAGCCUGAUCCAGCAAUACCGCGUGGGUGAAGAAGGCCUUCGGGUUGUAAAGCCCUUUUGUUGGGAAAGAAAAGCAGCAGGUUAAUACCCCGCUGUUAUGACGGUACCCAAAGAAUAAGCACCGGCUAACUUCGUG